GGUGGGCCUUCGCGGCUCCGCUGGGUUGGCAGCCGCUUGAGCCACUGCGAGGAAAGCAAAGUCUGGGCCAUGGAGAUGAGCCUAGUCCUGCUGUUCCUGAUCCGCACUGCCCUUUUUGCACCCCAGGGAGCUGCUGCUGACGGCGCCUCCCUCUGUCGCCAAAGUUGGAGUGCAGUGGCGCGGUCUCGGCUCACUGCAAGCUCCGCCUCCCGGAUUCAAGUGAUUCCCCUGCCUUAGCCUCCUAAGUAGCUGGGAUUACAAGUGCCCACCACCACACCCGGCUAAUAUUUUGUAUUUUAAUAGAGACUGGGUUUCACCAUGUUGACCGGGAUGGUCUCAAUCUCCUGACCUCGUGAUCUGCCUGCCUAAGCCUCCCGAAGUGCUGGGAUUACAGGCGUGAGCCACCACACCUAGCUGAGCCCCACAGUCUUUGUUACAACCUCACGGUGCUGUCCCAGGAUGGAUCUGUGCAGUCAGGGUUUCUCGCUGAGGGACAUCUGGAUGGUCAGCUCUUCCUGCUCUGUGACAGGCAGAAAGGCAGGGCAGGGCCCCGGGGACAGUGGGCAGAAGCAGUCCUGGGAGCUGAGACCUGGGACACAGAGACUGAAGACUUGACAGAGAAUGGGCAGGAGCUCAGGAGGACCCUGGCUCAUAUCAAGGGCCAGAAAGGAGGUGAGAGUGGGCAGUGGGCAAGAGUAAUGGGAGAGGCCUUUUCCAGGAGAGUUGGGGGCAGAGAGCAGGACCUGUCUCUUCCCACUGGAUUUGGCUGUGAGUAGGGGUGAGGAAUGGUGCUCAGCGGGGCUCAGCCCACACAGGGAGGGAUGGAAGAGGGCCAGGGAGGGGUCCUUCCUGGUCCGAGUUCCUCACUUGGACUGGAAUGGAGAAGUCACUGCUGGGUAGGGGCAGGCAGCCUUGCAUUCCCUCCAGGAGAUUAGGGUUUGUGAGAUCAGGAAGCCAGCAGCACCAGGGGCUUUAGGCAUUUCUACACAUAUGGGAAGCUCUUCCUCUCUCCCAACCUGGAGACUCAGUAAUGGACAGUGCCCCGGUCCUCCAGAACUCAGACUUUGGCUAUGAAUGUCACAAAUUUCUGGGAGGAAAAUGCCAUGCAGACCAAGACACACUAUUGCCCUGUGCAGGCAGACUACAUGCAAAAGCUAUGGUGAUAUCUGAAAUUCUGGAGGUAUCAGAAAAACAGCCUGCCCAUCCUGGAGAGCUACCUCCUAGCCCCACGACCCAGGAGCCCACCCCUGACAACCCUCUCCUCAGCAUCAAAGCCGGAGUCCCAGAGUGUGAGGCCACAGUCCUGAGGCCCAUCUUCCAGCAAGCCUAGGGGAAUUGGACCCCAGGUAAGGACCGAUUUGCAGAAGGUCUGGGGUCAGUGUGGGUUUCAGCGAGAGUCAGAACAAUAGAGAGGACCAGUCCUGUUCCCUGCAUCUCCCUUAGAGGGGAGAAAGGCUUGGCCACAUGCCUCACUGGCUCUGCCCUUUUGUCUCCAAUGACCCCCACAGUGAAUGAGAUGCACAGUGGGGCCUUAGAAGGCAAUGUCACCAUGAUGUGCUGGCCUCCAUCUUCUAUCCCUGGAAUAUCUCUCUGACCUGGCAUCAGGAUGAGGCAUCUUUGAGCCAGGAUGCCCAGCAGUCUAGGGGUGUCCUGCCCAAUGGGAAUGGGACCUACCAGACCUGCAUGGCCACCAGGAUUCCCCGAGGAGAGGAGCAGAGGUUCACCUGCUACAUGGGACACAGAGGGAAUCACAGCACUCACCCUGUGCCCUCUGGUGAGCCUGGGGCAACUCUCAAGGGUUUCGACCUAGGGAGGUCAGGCCAGGGUGGGGAUAGCAGGGACGGCUGUGGCUUUGCGUGCUCAGUGUGUCACAAGGCCCUUUUUUUAGAGAAGGCCCUGGUGCUUCAGAGUCAAUGGCAGCCAUUCUGUAUGCUGCUAUUGCUACUGUCAUUAUUAUUAGUAUUAGUAGUAGUAGUAGUAUUCUCUGUGUCCUUUGGUGCAAGAAGAAGACAACAUCAGCUGCAGAGUCCAGGUGAGAAAACGGGGCAGUGGCUGGAGAUGGAAGGACUCCUCUCUGGGCAGCAGGGUCCCCUCAUAGCUCCUGCACAGAUAGACAUGUAGGUAACAAGGUCCUGGAACAGGGGAUGGACAUUGGGGUAUUUGGGAGGGGAAUGGGAGCCACAUCUCCAUCUACACCCCUAAGUCCUGCCCAAGCCAGGGCUGGGCCACGGCCCUCAAAUGUCCAGCGGUGGCCUCCUCCUGCUGCAGGUGAGGAGUGGGCAGCAGGGAGGGCUGUGGCACCUGCUCUGUCCCCAUCCUGGUCUCUCUUGUUUCUUGGGCUCACCACGGUGCGUCCAGGUGGGGUGAGUUGAGAAUCACGUGCUGAUUGCUGAGGGCCUGGAUGAUCAUGGCUUCAGUGGGAGUAAAUAGUAAAGGCGGCUGUGAUCUGGGGAGGGGCUAGAAACUGGAGAGGAAUCUGAGGAGAGGCGGUGCCCCUAGUCUCUUCCUCUCUGCAUCCCUCUCUCCUGUUUCUCCAGCCAUCAGGAGGACACCAAGAAAAAGACCCACGAAGCCCAGACUGGGAGGCCUGCCUGUGCAGCCCCUUUGAGGUCCCCUUGUAACAGGGAGGGUCCUGAGUGCACACAGCCAUCUCUGUCCACUUUGCAGCUCCCCAUGGGCCUCCUCCAGGAGCUGUCUUGGGGGUAUCAUGUCCUCUGCAUCACUGGAGGUUCCCACCACAUGGCCCUGCCUCCCUGAGUUUCUGUGCAGAUGUUAUGGAGGAGUAUAUAAGCAGACAUCCCUGGGCCAUUUGGGAAGCAGGAACCAGCUCCUUGUCAGGGCAGCUGUGGUCCCUAUUUUCAUCAUAUGUCCAAGUGUUACCUUGUCUAGCCCCCAGGAACACAGUCCCCAGGACCAUGUUUUUUGGGGCACCCACAGCAGGGGCAGUGCAGGUCUGGUUGCUCCUGCUCUCACCUGCAGCAUCUCCCGUAGAGGAAUUGUCAGUUCUGGUUCCCUGUGGGCAGUAAAGGUUUCCUUGUAGGUCACUGGGGCAUUGGCCAGAAAAAGGUUGUGAAAAUCACAUGCUAAUUUCUCAAAAUUCCUGCUUUCAAUGUUGAUGUCCAAUAAAGAUGUUCAUAAUUUCAGCUGGAUAUUCUUAAUAGGAUUUCCUCCAAUACCGAUGCUGUAAAGCAUAUUGAAUGGAACAGGAAUUCAAAUUUGAAACUCUCUCUCUAGAAGGGUCCAUGUGGGAGAUGGUGGCUGUGGCUGUGGCAAUCCCCAGGUGCAGAGUGGGCGGAGGCAGCCUCAGGCUGAGGGGUCUCAAGAAAUCCCUUAUUCCAUAGGGAGAAGAAGAAGAUCCUCUGUGGGUGUGAGGGCAGUGGCCUGGGUGGAAUCCCUGCUAGGAACCAGACAGGAAGGCCUUGCAGCCUCACCAAGCAGCAGCCCUGGGGUGGAGCUGGAUUUCCAGGGAUGAGUGGACCAGGCAGGAGCAGGGCAUCCCAAGUGCAGGUCAUGGACCUGGGUGUCAAGGGAAGCAGAGCCUUCUUGAGCAAGGGGGUCUCCAGGGUCAGGUCAGGUGCAGACCCCAUGGCAGCCACGUGUUUCCAUCCUGGGCCUGACAGGCCUGCUGGGCUUCCUGGUGGGCUCUCCAGGUAGGAGCUGCCUGCUCAGGACUGGAAGGGGAGGAACACUGAGCUGUAGGUGGAGGGCGGAACCCACAGUGGGCAGGGCCUGCCCUGGUGUGCAGGUGCUUCUGCAGGAAAGGAGGGCCUGGGGAAAGAGGGAGAGAAAGGCCUUGUGUGUGACCCAGCCCAGGCCUGGAAGUACGUGGAGCCAGGGCCUCUCUCUGGGGAGGCCUCCCACUGUGUCCGAGCUGGCCAGGCUUGAGAGGAGGGGAGGGCACUGAGUUUCUUCUGGAGUCUUGUCAUUUAGUCCUGCGGCCCUUUCAGUCCUUACAGAGUGCAUAGUGGGCACAGGGCAAGUGCUGAUCUUCAUGAAGUCAUGGGAGGGGACUGGCAGGGGCUGGGAAAAGUGCCAUAGGAGGGAGAAAAAUGUGGGAGCAUCAUCUUCCCUCAGAGAAAGGGUGAAUCUGAUUUUGGAGUGACUGAGGAGGGAGAAAUCCUCAGGGAGUAAAAAGCAGCACUCUGCACCCAGGGGAGCAUUUAUUGGUUUCUCUAUUUUCUGCAGAGCACGUGAGCCUGCAAGGCCCGGAUCAACGCCCGGUUGGGACAGGAGACCACCAGGGCAGUGCACAGCUGGGAUUUCAGUCUCUGGUGUCAACUCCUGGGUCUACUGGCUCCACUGAGGGCAGCUACACUCUGCAGCCAGAUGGCCAGAAUUCAACUCCCUGCCCAGGUCUCACCAGCACUUUCCCACUUGGUGCCUCAGUUUCCUCAUCUAUGAAAUGGGGAAACUAACAGCAUUUAUUUCUUGUGGUUGGGUGGAUGAAAAGCGUUAGUAUAUAUGAGGGGUUUGCAGCUGUGCCACAUUAUUUUUGUUAUCAUUUGAUUAUAUUUUAAUAUAUUACAUAUGCGGUCAUUGUAUUAUUAUUAUAAAUGAGAUUUAUGAGUGAGUGUCCUGGUUACGGCUCCUUCUGGGGAGCCCAGGACCAGCUUUCCUGGCACCUUGAGGUCCCCUCACCCUGUCACACUCUCAUGCAUUACCUCAUAUCUACUAUGUCUUCAUAAUUUUAUACUAUAGAAAUUUACCCUUUAAGUAGACAUUUCUGGUCUGUGUUUUAUUUCAAGUGUCUGGGAAGGGAUAGAGUAUGAGGUUCAAGAGAGAAGGAGAGGUCUGUCUUCAUGCCUUGACACAGCACAAAGAAAUCUCCCCACCUCCCCCACAUCUCCCCACCAGUUCUCGGUGAUGGACAGAUUCACAGCAACACAGAAAGGGCUGGGAAGGGAUGGAGGGGGACAUCUGCAGCCAGUGUUUAGGGGCUGACCCUGUGGGAAGACACCUGCCUUGCAGAGGACCUCUGCAUCUUGCAGAUGCAGAGCUGAAGUCUGAUAUGAGGGAGAGGACAGGGAGUGCUUUGGACUUUCCUGAUUAAGAAGAAUAGAGAUCAGUCUGCUUCUGGGGUUAAGUGACCCCUGGGGAGAUUGGACUGAAUUAAUGAAGAAUAAAUGAACUGGGAAUGAGGAUGAGUAAAGCAAGUAUCAGCAUCUCCCAUUAUCAGUUCAGACUGAUUGGUAGAUGGGGAGGUGGGAUAGUUCCUGACCCUGUUGUGAGGUUCCUUUUAACUUUCUGGCCUUGGGGCACAGAUGGGUGGUGCUCUUCUUGGUCAGGGUAGCCUCGGCUCCACUCAGGUAAGGCAGUGGUGGCAGGGAGAGUUAUGGGAUCACCUGUGAAACGGACCAAGGCAGGGAUGGGAGCCCUCUGUGCAGCAAAAGUGGAUGCAAGGCCUGCCUAGAAGCAAGAGGAUGAAGGAACCUAGUUGGGUCCUGGUCCACUGCCUGCCUGUGUUCACAGGUCAACCAGUAAAGGAGGUGGGGUAGAGAAUUCAAUCGUGGGCUAUCUAUCCAGAGAUGUGUUUACAGGUGUAUUAUUUCACAUUUGUGUUCACGUUUGGUGUCAAAAACACAUUUAUACAUGCCUAUUUCAUGUUUAAGUAUUUUCACAUUUUAGUUAACCCUUAAAUAUCAUUGUUGAAUGCGGUUGUCAUUAGACAUAAACUUGCAUAUUCACUGAAGCUUUUGUUUUUAUUUUAAUCAAAUUUAUAAUUGUGCACAAUUGAAAGAGUCAAAUAUUUGUGCAGAAUCUCUUGAGAAAAAUGAGAGUCCUCUCUGCCUCUUCUCAAUUUCUGCCUUUCUAGGGGCCAACCACUUUCAAGUUUUUUAGCUGAUUCUUUUGACUUUACUUCUGUAUCUCUAACUACCAUUUCUUUAUUAUUAUUGCUUGAUUUUUUUCAGAUGCACCCAUUGUUGCACAGCGCAAUGGUGGAUGCAACAGUUAAGAGUACUUGUUCUCUUUCACUCUUCCCAGUAUAUUUAUAUAGUGAUUAUGUUUAGUUCAGCCAUCUCUUGUUUCUUUUACCAUGACUAAUCCUCUCAUAUGUCAACUGGACUACUUUUCACUGCCUGUACAACAUUGGUUCUUCUUGGAGUUAAUACUUGCAUUUGUUUUUGUUUAUUUUAUUAACUCUCAUUAAUUUAAGUUUGAUAUCUCUUUUGUUUGUAUGAUUCUUUCAAGACGUUGGACACUUUGGACAUUCUGUUAAUUUUAUCUUCUUGGAAAUGUCCCUCCUGGGCCCUUCUGGCUGCUCCCAUCUGGACUGGAGGCUUCUCCCCGUGGAGCAGAGUCACUGUCCUAGGAUCUCCCUCCAUCACUAUCUGGGAAGGUGCUUUACAUGCAGUGGAGCCACCUGGGUUCCAGCCAAAAUGCAGACUGAUUCAACAUGUCAAGGCUGGGCCUGUGAGCCUUUCUGUCUAGUUUCAGGAGGUGCUGAUUUUCCUGGUUCAUGGGUGAUAGCUGGGGUAGCAGGGAUCUCUCUUUUUGUCUCAUAGUUUUCUGUAUCUAAGGUAAGCGCAUACUAAUAUAUUUUUAAUGAAUUCAUGUACUUUUUCCCUAAAUUAGUAACAGGGCUAAUUAGUCUUUUCCUUGGGCCAAAAACUACAUUAUGUAAAAUUUGGUAUCUUAACUAUUUUAAAGUAUACAGUAGUACAGUAUUAACUGUAAAUACAUAGUUGUGCAACAGAUCUCUAGAACUUUUCAUCUUGCAACACUGAAACUCUAUGCCCAUUGAACAAACAUUCAUCCAUCCCCCUCACCGAGCCCCUAGCAGCCAUUAGUCUACUUUCAGUUUAGACACCUCAUAUAAAUGGAAAUGUGCAGUAUUGGGUUUUCUUUGUGAUUGGCUUAUUUUACUUAGCAGUGUCCUUCAGGUUUAUCCCUGUUGCAGCCUGUGACCAGGUUUCCUUCUUAAGGCUGAAUGAUAUUCCGUUGUCGAUAUAUACCACAUUUUCUUCAUUCAUGUGUUGGUGUGUGUUGUCUUGGCUAUCGUGAAUAAUGCUGCUUUGAAUAUGGGUAUACAAUGUUUUUCUUUUCAAACCUUCCCUCACUUUGGUGGAAUUAAUCCUUUAGUAGCUACUUCUGACAGCACAUAUUUAAAGUAUGUUUGUAUGGUUCAAUUUUUCCAUUGUUUUUAUUCUCUCCAGGAAGAGGAGAUAAAUAUAUGAAGGUGCUGUUUGGCACAGAAUUUAAUAGGGAAGAAAGAGACAGUAUAACUCACCAGUGCUGGGUCUCAUCAUCCUGCAAUUUCAGAACAACUAUGAAUACAAAAAGAAUUUUAAAAUCCCAGUCCUGCCUAGAAAGGGGAAGUCAUCUCUAAAUAUGGUGGCCCUGGGGCAGCUGGCCUCCCUGCCAGGCCUCUUCCAUGGGGGCCCUUUCUGCAGUGACUGUGGUUUCUUCCCAUUUUACUCUGUCCUGUGUCCUGACUGAAGCGACAAGGUGUGUCUGCAGCUGUGCUCACACCUGGAGGAAACCUCAAUGGUGACAUGAUGACCCUAGCAGCACAUCCUCUUUCCUGUGUCAAGAAGCAUCGUCCGGGGAGGUGAGAAGAAGACAGUCCUCCCUAGAAUUGAAGAACCAGGGAGAACCAGAUGGGCUGGGCAGAUCAAGCACAAACCUGAGAUCCAACUGUCCCUCUUAUGCGCCUGGGUUUCUUCACUGGACACCAGUAUGAGUCAACUUUCCUGUAAAGCAGAACAAGCACGAGAUUGGACCAUGUUAGAGGAGGAAUGGUGUCAUCUCCACUUCUGGAGAGAUCACUGUCCCCGUGUUUGGGGGAAGGACCAAGCCUCACUCCCAUGCAGAGAAGAAGCUCUGACUGUAACUGCACCUGUGGAGAGGUGAGGACCUGUCCCCUCUACACCGAUGGCCAGAGCCUCCAGAGUGGGGCCAGGCUUUUCCCUCAGCUGUGUCCUGUCAGGUUUAUCUAGGCCUCAAAGAAUAGACCCUGGACAUUGCCUCUGGCAAUGUGAGCUGGACACACACCCAGAUGUAAGGUAGCCCUGCCAAGUAUCCUGGGGUUGCCAGUAGUUCUGGGUGCUCAGUGUCUGGAGCGGAGGGUGGGAAGGAGGCUUGAUGCAGAACAAGAACCAUAUGUCACAUACUAUUUUAUUCUUUAUUAGUGUUUUUGUCAUAAAAAACCCCACGGGUACCAUAAAAGAUAAAAGAUCUAAAAAUGGUGCCCUUUAAUCAAAAGUAAACACCCUUUAACCAUCAGAGAGAGGGAGAAGUUUGGCAGCUGACCUAGAAGCCCCAUCAACUGCCCCAGCUCAAUGAUAAACUCUUCUCUUCUUCAAAUAAAAGCACAUCCUGGCUUACAUGGCCAUCACUUCUUUGUACAAUUUUAUAUUUUUAUCAUCUAAAGUUAUAGUUUAGUUUUACCUUUAAGAGUAUAUUUUUAUCCUCAUUUAUUCCAUAGAUUCCUGCUUGAAAUUUAUAUUGUCUGGUAGUUUCCUGUCCUUUGCAUUUUGCAGAUUGCACCCCAAGGUGUGGUUUAAUGUAUCUCUAUGACCUGUAUUUUCUGUAAAUUGGUAGUUUGUUAUAGAGGUUUGCGUCUAUUCAGGGUUUUUUUUUUUUUUUUUUUUUUUGCCAUGAGGAUUGAUGGUACUAUAUCAUGUUUUUCAUCAAGAGGAAGAAUUCAAUACUAGUUAUUUCUUUUUUGUGAUGUUAAUUGCCAUUGCUGUUCAGUGGCUAAAUCUGUUAAUUCAUUACAAAUUGCAAAAGUCUCAGUCUUUCAUUUCUUUUCAUAUACUAGCUGCAUAAUUUCUAAAAUAAAAGAUUUACCCUCUUCCACCAGUUAUCUAUUCAGUAGAAACUUGUUUUUUGAGAGACUAAACCAAGUUUCUAAUCACCUAUGACCCAGCAAUUCCACUUUUUGUUAUAUACCAAUAGAAAUGCAUGCAUUUGUGUCCCAAAAUAUAUGAAAAUAUUAUUUAUAGCAGCACGAUUUGUAGACUCUGAAUACAACACAAAUGUCUAUCAACAGUGGAGAGACAAGAAGUGUGAGCUAUUUAUAAAGCUGAGCACCUGACUGCCACGGGAGUGAUAGUGACCACACACAGCAAGACCUGGGACAUGGCAGUGACUGUGUCCAGAACUGACAGAACUAAUCUAUCAUAUUAGAAAUCAAGAAAGUGUCUGCUCUAGGGUUGGGGAGGGUGAUUUAUGACCAAGUAGAACCCAAUGGUGUUUCCUGGAGGCUGGAAAUGCUAUUCCUUGAUGUGGCUGCUAUUUACCUGAGUGUUCACUUUGUGAAAAUCCACGGCCCACUUAUGGUUUGUCCACCUUUCUCCAUGCAUGUUGUCCUUCAUUCAAGUAUACAUUUCUGAUGUUUUGAAACAAUUCUCUCUAAGCUAAUAUAGAAUCUCCAUUACUGAAAGUCCUUAGAAAUGCUGCAUUGGAAAAAAUUAGUCCAAUUAUUAAAAAUCUAUGAAAUAAAUGCUGUGACUCAGACAUUAAGAGGAGAAUCUACAACAAGAGCAGUAGGCUUGGGAGCUAACGCAAGAACAGCUUUGGAAAUGGCUGUUGAGCCAGGAACUAGGAAUCAAAACCCAAAAAGGCCCAUGCAAGGUGGAGGGUGUGAAAUGAUGCCCCAGUAGUGCAUGAAUGAAUGAGUCAUGGGCAGUGGCUCAUGGGUUGCUUGGUCAGUCAGGAACUUGAGCAAAAUAAAGUUGGAAAACUGGGGGAUGGAAGAGAGAGGUAUGCACAGACCUCUUGACAUGGGCAGAGCUUCAGAAGAUGGUGGUUGCAGGUUUCCCCAAAUAGAGAACAUCAAUAAAAAGGUAGAAAUUUUACAAAGAGACCAGAUAAAAAGUUUGGAGCUGAAAAGUGCAAUAACUGAAAUGAAAAAUUCACUAGAGGGGCUCCAGAGCAAAUUUCACCAUGCAGAAUGGAGAAUCAGCAAGCUUGAAGAUAAGACAAUUGAAAUUCUCUAGUUCAGUAGCAGAAAGAAAAAAAAUUAUGAAGAAAAAUAAACAGAACUUUAAAGAUCUGUGAGACAACAUCAAGCACAUGCACUUUGGGAGUCCUCAAAGAAAGGAGAGAGAGAAAGGAGAAGAAUGACUAUUUAAAGAAUAACUCCAAACCUUCCAAAUUUGAUGAAAAACAUUAUUCAUCCAACAAACUUGACAAAUUUUAAGCAGCAAAAAAAAUUAAAUUUAAAGAGGUCCACACCAAGAGAACAUUAUAAUCAACCUGUCAAAAGCCAAUGACAAACAGAGCAUAUUGAAAUGAAUAACAGAGAAGGAACUUUUCAGGUUCAAUGGAUCCUCAAUAAGAUUGCAGCCCAGUUUUCUUCAGAAACCAUAGAGUUCAGAAGGCAUUGGAAUGUUGACAAAUUUAGAGGUCAGAAAAAAAAAGACUGUCAUGCAGGAAUUGUGUGUCUGGAAAAACUCUCCUUCAGAAAUAAUGGAUUUUAU
Molecule: long non-coding RNA, 10424 nt
Filed under: Homo sapiens (human)
Lineage: Eukaryota; Metazoa; Chordata; Mammalia; Primates; Hominidae
Description: HSALNT0333563
Source: RNAcentral